This 450-nucleotide ribosomal RNA is filed under the name uncultured Methanolinea sp. RNAcentral's name for it is "bacterial SSU rRNA". It matches the Rfam family "Archaeal small subunit ribosomal RNA", at positions 889 to 1338 of the family's 1478-position model. Lineage: Archaea; Methanobacteriati; Methanobacteriota; Methanomicrobia; Methanomicrobiales; Methanoregulaceae. The record is from RNAcentral.
UGGAGCCUGCGGUUUAAUUGGACUCAACGCCGGGCAGCUCACCGGAUAAGACAGCUGGAUGAUAGCCGGGCUGAAGACUCUGCUUGACUAGCUGAGAGGAGGUGCAUGGCCGUCGUCAGUUCGUACUGUGAAGCAUCCUGUUAAGUCAGGCAACGAGCGAGACCCACGCCAACAGUUGCCAGCAUGUCCUCCGGGAUGAUGGGGACACUGUUGGGACCGCCUCUGCUAAAGAGGAGGAAGGAAUGGGCAACGGUAGGUCAGCAUGCCCCGAAUUAUCCGGGCUACACGCGGGCUACAAUGGUCAGGACAAUGGGUAUCGACACCGAGAGGUGGAGGCAAUCUCCUAAACCUGUCCUUAGUUCGGAUUGUGGGCUGCAACUCGCCCACAUGAAGCUGGAAUCCGUAGUAAUCGCGUUUCAAAAUAGCGCGGUGAAUAUGUCCCUGCUCCUU